AGAAAAAACCCUAGAGACUGCAAUCAUAUUCUCUGUGUGGAUCACCGUUGGAGGCUGGACAAUUGGACAGCUGUGGUGGCAAAUCAAGGUUGUGGAACGAAAAGAAAAGCAAAAGGAUUGCAGAUCUGACAAAAGGUAUAAUCUUAUCACAAUUCCUAACCAAACACAAUGAGAUCUAUUGGAUGGGAAUCGAAAUAAUUUAAUUUUCCGCUGUGCAUGUAUA
This 223-nucleotide long non-coding RNA is filed under the name Olea europaea (common olive). RNAcentral's name for it is "long non-coding RNA (OEUR_LNC008910)". Lineage: Eukaryota; Viridiplantae; Streptophyta; Magnoliopsida; Lamiales; Oleaceae. The record is from RNAcentral.